Molecule: ribosomal RNA, 1522 nt
Filed under: Escherichia coli
Lineage: Bacteria; Pseudomonadati; Pseudomonadota; Gammaproteobacteria; Enterobacterales; Enterobacteriaceae
Also listed under: 1 other name
Description: bacterial SSU rRNA
Rfam family: Bacterial small subunit ribosomal RNA
Source: RNAcentral
AGAGUUUGAUCAUGGCUCAGAUUGAACGCUGGCGGCAGGCCUAACACAUGCAAGUCGAACGGUAACAGGAAACAGCUUGCUGUUUCGCUGACGAGUGGCGGACGGGUGAGUAAUGUCUGGGAAACUGCCUGAUGGAGGGGGAUAACUACUGGAAACGGUAGCUAAUACCGCAUAAUGUCGCAAGACCAAAGAGGGGGACCUUCGGGCCUCUUGCCAUCGGAUGUGCCCAGAUGGGAUUAGCUAGUAGGUGGGGUAACGGCUCACCUAGGCGACGAUCCCUAGCUGGUCUGAGAGGAUGACCAGCCACACUGGAACUGAGACACGGUCCAGACUCCUACGGGAGGCAGCAGUGGGGAAUAUUGCACAAUGGGCGCAAGCCUGAUGCAGCCAUGCCGCGUGUAUGAAGAAGGCCUUCGGGUUGUAAAGUACUUUCAGCGGGGAGGAAGGGAGUAAAGUUAAUACCUUUGCUCAUUGACGUUACCCGCAGAAGAAGCACCGGCUAACUCCGUGCCAGCAGCCGCGGUAAUACGGAGGGUGCAAGCGUUAAUCGGAAUUACUGGGCGUAAAGCGCACGCAGGCGGUUUGUUAAGUCAGAUGUGAAAUCCCCGGGCUCAACCUGGGAACUGCAUCUGAUACUGGCAAGCUUGAGUCUCGUAGAGGGGGGUAGAAUUCCAGGUGUAGCGGUGAAAUGCGUAGAGAUCUGGAGGAAUACCGGUGGCGAAGGCGGCCCCCUGGACGAAGACUGACGCUCAGGUGCGAAAGCGUGGGGAGCAAACAGGAUUAGAUACCCUGGUAGUCCACGCCGUAAACGAUGUCGACUUGGAGGUUGUGCCCUUGAGGCGUGGCUUCCGGAGCUAACGCGUUAAGUCGACCGCCUGGGGAGUACGGCCGCAAGGUUAAAACUCAAAUGAAUUGACGGGGGCCCGCACAAGCGGUGGAGCAUGUGGUUUAAUUCGAUGCAACGCGAAGAACCUUACCUGGUCUUGACAUCCACGGAAGUUUUCAGAGAUGAGAAUGUGCCUUCGGGAACCGUGAGACAGGUGCUGCAUGGCUGUCGUCAGCUCGUGUUGUGAAAUGUUGGGUUAAGUCCCGCAACGAGCGCAACCCUUAUCCUUUGUUGCCAGCGGUCCGGCCGGGAACUCAAAGGAGACUGCCAGUGAUAAACUGGAGGAAGGUGGGGAUGACGUCAAGUCAUCAUGGCCCUUACGACCAGGGCUACACACGUGCUACAAUGGCGCAUACAAAGAGAAGCGACCUCGCGAGAGCAAGCGGACCUCAUAAAGUGCGUCGUAGUCCGGAUUGGAGUCUGCAACUCGACUCCAUGAAGUCGGAAUCGCUAGUAAUCGUGGAUCAGAAUGCCACGGUGAAUACGUUCCCGGGCCUUGUACACACCGCCCGUCACACCAUGGGAGUGGGUUGCAAAAGAAGUAGGUAGCUUAACCUUCGGGAGGGCGCUUACCACUUUGUGAUUCAUGACUGGGGUGAAGUCGUAACAAGGUAACCGUAGGGGAACCUGCGGUUG